Molecule: ribosomal RNA, 253 nt
Filed under: uncultured bacterium
Lineage: Bacteria
Description: partial 16S ribosomal RNA
Rfam family: Bacterial small subunit ribosomal RNA
Source: RNAcentral
UACGUAGGGUGCGAGCGUUGUCCGGAAUUAUUGGGCGUAAAGGGCUCGUAGGCGGUCUGUUGCGUCGGGAGUGAAAACUCAGGGCUUAACCCUGAGCCUGCUUCCGAUACGGGCAGACUAGAGGUAUGCAGGGGAGAACGGAAUUCCUGGUGUAGAGGUGAAAUGCGCAGAUAUCAGGAGGAACACCGGUGGCGAAGGCAGUUCUCUGGGCAUUACCUGACGCUGAGGAGCGAAAGUGUGGGGAGCGAACAGG